This 492-nucleotide ribosomal RNA is filed under the name uncultured bacterium. Its description in RNAcentral is "partial 16S ribosomal RNA". It matches the Rfam family "Bacterial small subunit ribosomal RNA", at positions 29 to 507 of the family's 1533-position model. The record is from RNAcentral.
AGUGAACGCUGGCGGUAGGCCUAACACAUGCAAGUCGAACGGCAGCACAGUAAGAGCUUGCUCUUACGGGUGGCGAGUGGCGGACGGGUGAGGAAUACAUCGGAAUCUACUUUUUCGUGGGGGAUAACGUAGGGAAACUUACGCUAAUAUCGCAUACGACCUACGGGUGAAAGCAGGGGAUCUUCGGACCUUGCGCGAUUGAAUGAGCCGAUGUCAGAUUAGCUAGUUGGCGGGGUAAAGGCCCACCAAGGCGACGAUCCGUAGCUGGUCUGAGAGGAUGAUCAGCCACACUGGAACUGAGACACGGUCCAGACUCCUACGGGAGGCAGCAGUGGGGAAUAUUGGACAAUGGGCGCAAGCCUGAUCCAGCCAUACCGCGUGGGUGAAGAAGGCCUUCGGGUUGUAAAGCCCUUUUGUUGGGAAAGAAAAGCAGCAGGUUAAUACCCCGCUGUUCUGACGGUACCCAAAGAAUAAGCACCGGCUAACUUCGUG